This is a non-coding RNA of Bos taurus (domestic cattle), 46 nucleotides long. The record is from Rfam. Lineage: Eukaryota; Metazoa; Chordata; Mammalia; Artiodactyla; Bovidae.
AAAAAGGCUCUUUUCAGAGCCACCUACUUUGUCGAUAAGAACUAUU